This 352-nucleotide ribosomal RNA is filed under the name Anophryoides haemophila. Its description in RNAcentral is "partial Bacterial large subunit ribosomal RNA". It matches the Rfam family "Bacterial large subunit ribosomal RNA", at positions 801 to 1150 of the family's 2925-position model. Lineage: Eukaryota; Ciliophora; Oligohymenophorea; Philasterida; Glauconematidae. The record is from RNAcentral.
GGGAUGAGCUGUGGAUAGGGGUGAAAGGCUAAACAAACUCGGAGAUAGCUGGUUCUCCCCGAAAGCUAUUUAGGUAGCGCCUCGUGAACUCAUCUUCGGGGGUAGAGCACUGUUUCGGCUAGGGGGUCAUCCCGACUUACCAACCCGAUGCAAACUACGAAUACCGAAGAAUGUUAUCACGGGAGACACACGGCGGGUGCUAACGUCCGUCGUGAAGAGGGAAACAACCCAGACCGCCAGCUAAGGUCCCUAAAUCAUCGCUAAGUGGUAAACGAUGUGGAAAGUCAUAGACAGCCAGGAUGUUGGCUUAGAAGCAGCCAUCAUUUAAAGAAAGCGUAAUAGCUCACUGAUC